CCUAUGGAGAGUACAGGAACUUGUGAGUAGUACAUGAAUUGAUUCGUUACAAAAGCAUACUCGCUGAAGUAGGAA
This is a non-coding RNA of Clostridiales bacterium 36_14, 75 nucleotides long. Lineage: Bacteria; Bacillati; Bacillota; Clostridia; Eubacteriales. The record is from Rfam.